This 484-nucleotide ribosomal RNA is filed under the name uncultured bacterium. RNAcentral describes it as "partial 16S ribosomal RNA". It matches the Rfam family "Bacterial small subunit ribosomal RNA", at positions 30 to 507 of the family's 1533-position model. The record is from RNAcentral.
AUUGAACGCUGGCGGCAGGCCUAACACAUGCAAGUCGAGCGGAUGAAGGGAGCUUGCUCCUGGAUUCAGCGGCGGACGGGUGAGUAAUGCCUAGGAAUCUGCCUGGUCGUGGGGGAUAACGUCCGGAAACGGGCGCUAAUACCGCAUACGUCCUGAGGGAGAAAGUGGGGGAUCUUCGGACCUCACGCUAUCAGAUGAGCCUAGGUCGGAUUAGCUAGUUGGUGGGGUAAAGGCCUACCAAGGCGACGAUCCGUAACUGGUCUGAGAGGAUGAUCAGUCACACUGGAACUGAGACACGGUCCAGACUCCUACGGGAGGCAGCAGUGGGGAAUAUUGGACAAUGGGCGAAAGCCUGAUCCAGCCAUGCCGCGUGUGUGAAGAAGGUCUUCGGAUUGUAAAGCACUUUAAGCGGGGAGGAAGGGCAGUAAGUUAAUACCUUGCUGUAUUGACGUUACCAACAGAAUAAGCACCGGCUAACUUCGUG